AGCUCCAAUAGCGUAUAUUAAAGUUGUUGCGGUUAAAAAGCUCGUAGUUGGAUCUGUGUCUCACGCUGUCGGUUCACCGUUUUGUCGGUGUUUAACUAACAUGUCGUGGUACGUCCUGCCGGUUGGCUGUGUUGCGCUUCCCGUAUAGGUUGCGAUUUAACAUUUGCCAGUACCAAUCCUGUCGCGGUGCUCUUUACCGAGUGUCGAGGCGGGCCGGCACGUUUACCUUGAACAAAUUUGAGUGCUUAAAGCAGGCUAUAUCGCCGGAAAACCGUGUGCAUGGAAUAAUAUAAUAGGACCGCGGUUCUAUUUUGUUGGUUUUCAGAGUCCGAGGUAAUGAUUAAUAGGGACCGGCGGGGGCAUUAGUAUUGCGACGUUAGAGGUGAAAUUCUUGGAUCGUCGCAAGACUAACCUAAGCGAAAGCAUUUGCCAAGGAUGCUUCCU
RNAcentral lists this ribosomal RNA (444 nucleotides) under uncultured eukaryote. Its description in RNAcentral is "SSU rRNA". It matches the Rfam family "Eukaryotic small subunit ribosomal RNA", at positions 587 to 972 of the family's 1831-position model. The record is from RNAcentral.